This 68-nucleotide transfer RNA is filed under the name Fowlea piscator (Checkered keelback). RNAcentral's name for it is "tRNA-Asp". The record is from RNAcentral. Lineage: Eukaryota; Metazoa; Chordata; Lepidosauria; Squamata; Natricidae.
GAGAGCCUAGUAAACACUGUAUUACGUGGCUUUGUCGUAGCCAAAUCACAGCCUCUGGUGGCUCUCAU